This 76-nucleotide transfer RNA is filed under the name Tenericutes bacterium ADurb.Bin140. RNAcentral describes it as "tRNA-Gln". It matches the Rfam family "tRNA". Rfam says of the family: Transfer RNA (tRNA) molecules are approximately 80 nucleotides in length. Their secondary structure includes four short double-helical elements and three loops (D, anti-codon, and T loops). Further hydrogen bonds mediate the characteristic L-shaped molecular structure. tRNAs have two regions of fundamental functional importance: the anti-codon, which is responsible for specific mRNA codon recognition, and the 3' end, to which the tRNAs corresponding amino acid is attached (by aminoacyl-tRNA synthetases). tRNAs cope with the degeneracy of the genetic code in two manners: having more than one tRNA (with a specific anti-codon) for a particular amino acid; and 'wobble' base-pairing, i.e. permitting non-standard base-pairing at the 3rd anti-codon position. The record is from RNAcentral. Lineage: Bacteria; Bacillati; Mycoplasmatota. RNAcentral also lists the same sequence under 2 other names.
AGGGCUAUAGCCAAGCGGUAAGGCAACGGACUUUGACUCCGUCAUUUCAAUGGUUCGAAUCCAUUUAGCCCUACCA